RNAcentral lists this ribosomal RNA (1346 nucleotides) under uncultured bacterium. RNAcentral describes it as "bacterial SSU rRNA". It matches the Rfam family "Bacterial small subunit ribosomal RNA", at positions 28 to 1381 of the family's 1533-position model. The record is from RNAcentral.
GACGAACGCUGGCGGCGUGCUUAACACAUGCAAGUCGAACGGAAAGGCCCUGCUUUUGUGGGGUGCUCGAGUGGCGAACGGGUGAGUAACACGUGAGUAACCUGCCCUUGACUUUGGGAUAACUUCAGGAAACUGGGGCUAAUACCGGAUAGGAGCUCCUGCUGCAUGGUGGGGGUUGGAAAGUUUCGGCGGUUGGGGAUGGACUCGCGGCUUAUCAGCUUGUUGGUGGGGUAGUGGCUUACCAAGGCUUUGACGGGUAGCCGGCCUGAGAGGGUGACCGGCCACAUUGGGACUGAGAUACGGCCCAGACUCCUACGGGAGGCAGCAGUGGGGAAUAUUGCACAAUGGGCGGAAGCCUGAUGCAGCAACGCCGCGUGCGGGAUGACGGCCUUCGGGUUGUAAACCGCUUUCGCCUGUGACGAAGCGUGAGUGACGGUAAUGGGUAAAGAAGCACCGGCUAACUACGUGCCAGCAGCCGCGGUGAUACGUAGGGUGCGAGCGUUGUCCGGAUUUAUUGGGCGUAAAGGGCUCGUAGGUGGUUGAUCGCGUCGGAAGUGUAAUCUUGGGGCUUAACCCUGAGCGUGCUUUCGAUACGGGUUGACUUGAGGAAGGUAGGGGAGAAUGGAAUUCCUGGUGGAGCGGUGGAAUGCGCAGAUAUCAGGAGGAACACCAGUGGCGAAGGCGGUUCUCUGGGCCUUUCCUGACGCUGAGGAGCGAAAGCGUGGGGAGCGAACAGGCUUAGAUACCCUGGUAGUCCACGCUGUAAACGGUGGGUACUAGGUGUGGGGUCCAGUCCACGGGUUCCGUGCCGUAGCUAACGCUUUAAGUACCCCGCCUGGGGAGUACGGCCGCAAGGCUAAAACUCAAAGGAAUUGACGGGGCCCCGCACAAGCGGCGGAGCAUGCGGAUUAAUUCGAUGCAACGCGUAGAACCUUACCUGGGUUUGACAUGGAUCGGGAGCGCUCAGAGAUGGGUGUGCCUCUUUUGGGGUCGGUUCACAGGUGGUGCAUGGCUGUCGUCAGCUCGUGUCGUGAGAUGUUGGGUUAAGUCCCGCAACGAGCGCAACCCUUGUUCACUGUUGCCAGCACGUUAUGGUGGGGACUCAGUGGAGACCGCCGGGGUCAACUCGGAGGAAGGUGGGGAUGACGUCAAGUCAUCAUGCCCCUUAUGUCCAGGGCUUCACGCAUGCUACAAUGGCUGGUACAGAGAGUGGCGAGCCUGUGAGGGUGAGCGAAUCUCGGAAAGCCGGUCUCAGUUCGGAUUGGGGUCUGCAACUCGACCUCAUGAAGUCGGAGUCGCUAGUAAUCGCAGAUCAGCAACGCUGCGGUGAAUACGUUCCCGGGGCU